UACGUAGGUGGCGAGCGUCGUCCGGAUUUACUGGGCGUAAAGGGAGCGUAGGCGGGCUUUUAAGUGAGAUGUGAAAUACUCGGGCUCAACUUGAGUGCUGCAUUUCAAACUGGAAGUCUAGAGUGCAGGAGAGGAGAAUGGAAUUCCUAGUGUAGCGGUGAAAUGCGUAGAGAUUAGGAAGAACACCAGUGGCGAAGGCGAUUCUCUGGACUGUAACUGACGCUGAGGCUCGAAAGCGUGGGGAGCAAACAGG
Molecule: ribosomal RNA, 253 nt
Filed under: uncultured bacterium
Lineage: Bacteria
Description: partial 16S ribosomal RNA
Rfam family: Bacterial small subunit ribosomal RNA
Source: RNAcentral